Fusarium proliferatum ET1 is the source of this 72-nucleotide non-coding RNA. NCBI's taxonomy places the organism in Eukaryota, Fungi, Ascomycota, Sordariomycetes, Hypocreales, Nectriaceae. The record is from the annotation of a RefSeq genome assembly.
GGGCGUGUGGUCUAGGGGUAUGAUGUUCGCUUCGCAUGCGAAAGGUCGAGGGUUCAAUUCCCUCCUCGUCCA